Long non-coding RNA from Grus americana (Whooping crane), 510 nucleotides. RefSeq lists it as uncharacterized. The transcript has 4 exons. Lineage: Eukaryota; Metazoa; Chordata; Aves; Gruiformes; Gruidae. The record is from RefSeq and is a predicted model, not a curated record.
AUUGUUUCCAGCCAGAGCUGCUUUCUCUAUUCAGCACUUAGUACACCAUAAACUCAAGACAGGUCCACUGCAUUUUACUGGAAUUCCUGAUUUUACAGAAGAGGGAACCUUGGUUUUUUUCUCCAGUUUUCCUGUAAGCUAUGCUCAUAGCUCGCGGAAAGAUAGAAGAUAAGUUUUACAGGUGGAUUUGGGUGCCACCGAGGACUAUUCUAGCUCAGUCUCAUCACAGCCGACCGGAGGCACGACGAUCCCGAGACGUGCGGCGUAAGUUAUCCGGCCCUCGGCACGGCCAUAAGCAGAGCUGAAUGUCAGAAGAGUCUCAUCUUGUGAAGCAUGGGGUAGGUUAAAAUAUACCUUCCUGAACUCUGAAGUCUCUGCUUCCCUGUACCUUCUGCUUUCUUUAUUCCCUGACUUAAUUUUUGCAUCCAUCCCUUCACCGUCCAUCUGGAUGUCACAGUUACUUAGAGACACAGACUAGGCAAUUAUUUCCAGCGCAGGCUUGAGCGACCG